This 1202-nucleotide ribosomal RNA is filed under the name metagenome. RNAcentral's name for it is "bacterial LSU rRNA". It matches the Rfam family "Bacterial large subunit ribosomal RNA", at positions 1734 to 2925 of the family's 2925-position model. The record is from RNAcentral.
CUUCGGGAGAAGGUGUGCCCCGGUAGCGUGUAGAGACUUGCUCUCGAAGCGCGAUGGGGUUGCAGUGAAAUGGUGGCUGCGACUGUUUAAUAAAAACACAGCACUCUGCAAACACGAAAGUGGACGUAUAGGGUGUGACGCCUGCCCGGUGCCGGAAGGUUAAGUGAUGGGGUGCAAGCUCUUGAUCGAAGCCCCGGUAAACGGCGGCCGUAACAAUAACGGUCCUAAGGUAGCGAAAUUCCUUGUCGGGUAAGUUCCGACCUGCACGAAUGGCGUAACGAUGGCCACACUGUCUCCUCCUGGGACUCAGCGAAGUUGAAAUGUUUGUGAAGAUGCAAUCUACCCGCGGCUAGACGGAAAGACCCCAUGAACCUUUACUGUAGCUUUGCAUUGGACUUUGAACCGGUUUGUGUAGGAUAGGUGGGAGACUGUGAAGCCGGGACGCUAGUUUCGGUGGAGUCAACCUUGAAAUACCACCCUGAUUUGUUUGAGGUUCUAACCUUGGUCCGUGAAUCCGGAUCGGGGACCGUGCAUGGUAGGCAGUUUGUCUGGGGCGGUCUCCUCCCAAAAGGUAACGGAGGAGUACGAAGGUACGCUUAGGGCGGUCGGACAUCGCCCACAAAGUGCAAUGGCAAAAGCGUGCUUGACUGCGAGACCCACAAGUCGAGCAGGUACGAAAGUAGGUCAUAGUGAUCCGGUGGUUCUGUAUGGAAGGGCCAUCGCUCAACGGAUAAAAGGUACUCUGGGGAUAACAGGCUAAUUCCUCCCAAGAGUUCAUAUCGACGGGGGAGUUUGGCACCUCGAUGUCGGCUCAUCACAUCCUGGGGCUGUAGUCGGUCCCAAGGGUAUGGCUGUUCGCCAUUUAAAGUGGUACGCGAGCUGGGUUUAAAACGUCGUGAGACAGUUUGGUCCCUAUCUGCCGUGGGCGCUGGAAAUUUGAAGGGGGCUGCUCCUAGUACGAGAGGACCGGAGUGGACGAACCUCUGGUGUACCGGUUAUGACGCCAGUCGUAUCGCCGGGUAGCUAAGUUCGGAAGAGAUAAACGCUGAAAGCAUCUAAGCGUGAAACUCGCCUUAAGAUAAGAUUUCCCGGAGUCUUGAACUCCCUGAAGGGUCGUCGAAGACCACGACGUUGAUAGGUCAGGUGUGGAAGCGCAGCAAUGCGUUAAGCUAACUGAUGCUAAUUGCCCGUGCGGCUUGAUC